UUGUAAUUUGAGUCGAGUUUCGCUCUCAGUGGCCGUCUUUCGUGUUUACUGGUUGAAAAAGUCGAGUGUUGUUCGGAGAUGUAGGUCUUAUUCCAUCGGAUUUCUAGGCCUUCGACUACUAAAAUUGGUGGAUUGAAGUGUCUUGGCCGUUUUUCGCGUUUACUGGAUACUGGUCGAAAAAGUCUACUCUGUUGUUCGGAAAAGUAGGACUUAUUCCAUCGGAUUUCUAGGCCUUCGACUACUAAAAUUGGUGGAUUGAAGUGUCUUGGCCGUUUUUCGCGUUUACUGGAUACUGGUCGAGAAAGUCUACUGUUGUUCGGAAAAGUAGGACUUAUUCCAUCGGAUUUCUAGUCCUUCGACUAGAUACUAAAAUUAGCAAAUUGAAGACGUGUAAAAUCAACUGAUUCAAAUCGUAUUUCAGUCUUCUUUCGGUGCGAAUUCAAGACUUCGUAUUUCGUAAUAAUUUGAGACUUCGUGCUUCGUGGAGAUGAAUUUUUCAAUCCGUAUUUCAUAACAAUUUGAGACUUCGUGCUUCAUGGAGAUGAAUUCUUGAACCCGUAUUUCAUAACAAUUUGAGAUUUCGUGCUUCCUGGAGAUGAAACUUUCAAUCUGGAUAGUUCAUCCUUGCUGAUUCAGCUACGAAUAGUUAAGCUGAUUGCUUUGCCUACCAAAGAUGACAACUAACUUUCAUUCAUCGAUCGAUCUUGAUGAGACCUGGAAAGAGCAUUUGAUUUGAAACCGUACCAGACGAAGAAAUCGAGAAAGAAAAAUUACUUACUCCGUAAUUUCGAAAACGGAAGUUCUAUUAUCUGAGUUGCACGAAAUUCGAAAAAAAGACGAUUAAAUCUAUCACACGAACGGAGAAGAUGAUACCUGGUUUGUAAAGUUGGUCCAUGUGUUUCGAAGAAAGGAUUUUUUGCUGAGUUCUGUGACUGAAGAGUGUCUCCGGAGGUGUAUCCAGACUUAGUUCGACGAUGGUGGCAGUUAAACUAUACAUUAUGGUGAUGCAUCAGACGCGGUAGGAUUUUUAUAGCUGUUGCUGUUACUAAGUUAUUAAAUAUUAUAUGAAGAA
Molecule: long non-coding RNA, 1072 nt
Organism: Planococcus citri (citrus mealybug)
Lineage: Eukaryota; Metazoa; Arthropoda; Insecta; Hemiptera; Pseudococcidae
Exons: 5
Source: RefSeq, a predicted model, not a curated record